UACGUAGGGGGCAAGCGUUGUCCGGAUUUAUUGGGCGUAAAGAGCGUGUAGGCGGCUUUACAGGUCCGUUGUGAAAACUCGAGGCUCAACCUCGAGACGCCGGUGGAAACCGUAAGGCUAGAGUCCGGAAGAGGAGAGUGGAAUUCCUGGUGUAGCGGUGAAAUGCGUAGAUAUCUGGAGGAACACCGGUGGCGAAGGCGGCAUCCUGGACCGGCAUUGACGCUGAGGCGCGAAAGCCAGGGGAGCAAACGGG
Molecule: ribosomal RNA, 253 nt
Filed under: uncultured bacterium
Lineage: Bacteria
Description: partial 16S ribosomal RNA
Rfam family: Bacterial small subunit ribosomal RNA
Source: RNAcentral